Molecule: ribosomal RNA, 483 nt
Filed under: uncultured bacterium
Lineage: Bacteria
Description: partial 16S ribosomal RNA
Rfam family: Bacterial small subunit ribosomal RNA
Source: RNAcentral
GAUGAACGCUGGCGGCGUGCCUAACACAUGCAAGUCGAACGGAGUCGUUUUGGAAAUCUCUUCGGAGAUGGAAUUCUCGACUUAGUGGCGGACGGGUGAGUAACGCGUGAGCAAUCUGCCUUUAAGAGGGGGAUAACAGUCGGAAACGGCUGCUAAUACCGCAUAAAGCAUUAAAUUCGCAUGUUUUUGAUGCCAAAGGAGCAAUCCGCUUUUAGAUGAGCUCGCGUCUGAUUAGCUAGUUGGCGGGGUAACGGCCCACCAAGGCGACGAUCAGUAGCCGGACUGAGAGGUUGAACGGCCACAUUGGGACUGAGACCCGGCCCAGACUCCUACGGGAGGCAGCAGUGGGGAAUAUUGCGCAAUGGGGGAAACCCUGACGCAGCAACGCCGCGUGAUUGAAGAAGGCCUUCGGGUUGUAAAGAUCUUUAAUCAGGGACGAAACAAAUGACGGUACCUGAAGAAUAAGCUCCGGCUAACUACGUG